This 488-nucleotide ribosomal RNA is filed under the name uncultured bacterium. RNAcentral's name for it is "bacterial SSU rRNA". It matches the Rfam family "Bacterial small subunit ribosomal RNA", at positions 1 to 526 of the family's 1533-position model. The record is from RNAcentral.
GCUAUUUAGGUUAGAGUUUGAUCAUGGCUCAGAGCGAACGCUGGCGGCAGGCCUAACACAUGCAAGUCGAGCGCCCGUAGCAAUACGGGAGCGGCAGACGGGAGAGUAACACGUGGGAACGCGCCCUUCGGUUCGGAAUAACUCAGGGAAACUUGAGCUAAUACCGGAUACGCCCUUACGGGGAAAGAUUUAUUGCCGAAGGAACGGCCCGCGUCCGAUUAGCUAGUUGGUGGGGUAAUGGCUCACCAAGGCGACGAUCGGUAGCUGGUCUGAGAGGAUGACCAGCCUCACUGGGACUGAGACACGGCCCAGACUCCUACGGGAGGCAGCAGUGGGGAAUAUUGGACAAUGGGCGCAAGCCUGAUCCAGCCAUGCCGCGUGGAUGAUGAAGGCCCUAGGGUUGUAAAGUCCUUUUAACGGGGAAGAUAAUGACGGUACCCGUAGAAUAAGCCCCGGCUAACUUCGUGCCAGCAGCCGCGGUAAUCGCC